CGAAAAGACCCCGGGAGCUUUACUGUAGCUUGAUAUUGGGUCUAGGUUUUUGUUGCGUAGCAUAGGUGGGAGAGGUUGAUCCCCGGUUUCCGGAUCGGGGGGACUCGUCAGUGAAAUACCACUCUUUAAAAACUUAGAUUCUAACCAAUCCGAUACCUAAAAAUGGAAAGCGGAUUGAGACAGUGUCUGGCGGGCAGUUUGUUUGGGGCGAAACCCUUAAGAAGACUGGUCAUUAAGCCGAUCAGUUGUGGGGGCUCCGCGUAAUGCGGAGAAAACAUUCAGCUAUAUGCUGGAACAUCCGGAUGUAUAUGUUGGUACCCGUCGAAGGGUAAAAAACCAACUUUGAAUAUUUCGCGCUUCUGCGGUAACGCAGUAUGUACGAAAUGUGCCGGACAAUCAGCAGGCAACCGAGCGCCUAUGGGUGCUUGGGAGCCCUCAACGACUAUACGCUGAAACCGCUGUAUGGCAGCGGCAUGAUAUAGUCUGAUCUUUCGGGCGACCGAAAGUGCGCAUACUUGCGCAACUUAAUAUGCAUUCAUUGGAAAUCGAAGAGCGAAAGAAACACAUACGAAUAAGCGAUUUCGAGAGAGAUAUUAUUGUGGGCAAACUUCUUGGUGACGGCCACCUUGAAACAAAGAACCAAGGCAGAACGUAUCGGCUGAAAGUGGAGCAUUCAAUCAAGCAAAAGGAAUACGUUGAUUGGGUCUACGGAAAAUUACGGCACUUGGCGAUGUCAGAGCCGUGUGUGAAAGAAAAAGAUGUAUUUCCACCGCAAGGCGGAACAUUCAAAUUUCACGGAUACGGUUUUACCAGUUUGUCGCUUGGCCAAUUACGUUUUUAUGGCCAGCAAUUCUAUAAUCAUGGCAAGAAAGUUAUUCCGAAGAUGAUUGGAAAAAUGCUUUCUCCAUCGGUGAUUGCCAUUUGGUAUCUUGAUGACGGAUCGCUUAAAUCGAAUACCCAUCGAACAUACAUUAUCCAUACCUAUGGAUAUACGAAGUCUGAUUUGCGGAGAGUGCAGGAUGCACUCCUGAAGCGCUUUGACAUACACACAAAUCUUCAUCGUCAAAAUAAGAACGGAAAAGUAUACUGGAGAAUGUAUGUCAUGUCGGAGUCGGCUUGGACAUUUCAGAAAUUGAUCGAGCCGAUUAUCAAACACAUUCCAUCAAUGCAAUAUAAAUUAGGGAACACACAUGCCCAAAAAGUAACGGAGGGGCUUAAAGGUUGGCUUAGGACGAAUGGAAACCGUCCAUGACGUGUAAAGGCACAAGCCAGCUUAACUCUAAGGCGGACAUGCCGAGGAGAUACGAAAGUAUAACUUAGUGAUCCGAUGGCUAUAGUACUUAUUUACAUUCAGGGGUAACUCUGAAUGUGAGUAUGUAUUUCUUACUAGAAUAAGGCCAAAGCUCAACGGAUAAAAGCUACCCCGGGGAUAACAGGCUAGUCGCUUCCAAGAGUCCAUAUCGACGAAGCGGAUCGGCACCUCGAUGUCGGCUCACCCUAUCCUGGGACUGGAGAAGGCCCCAAAGGUUUGGCUGUUCGCCAAUUAAAAGGGUACGCGAGCUGGGUUCAAACCGUUAAGAAACGAGAUUUAUGAAUCUUGAUUUAUGAUUUAAGAUUUAUGAUCAGUUUUUUAACAGUUUGAACCCGAGGAAUGACAUCAAUAACGGCGGCGUUCCGCAGUAACGCGGAAUGUGAAGUUAACUUAUAUCGGUAAAAUCCUUUUGACAUUUUCCAUAAAUGUUUCUAGAGACAAUACCGAGGGAAGAAAAACAUUACUAUCUUUAAACCACAAAAAUUAUGGCAAUCGAAAACAAUGAAAGCAACCCAUCAUACCAAACACAAAAGGCAGAGAAAAUAGAAGAGAUUGGAGUUUUACUUCAAGAUCUGUCGCAUAGCCUUUCGUAUAAAGAUGGAAAAUUGCAUCAAUUUAACCUAUUUGACCUUCAAGAAAUUGAAAGUCGCCUAAAGGCCCUCAUAAAAGAAGCGAAUGAGGGAAGAAUAAAAGACUAGAUGGUAAUGUUUUAUCACCCGUAGAGACUACACGUUAACCUCCCAAUGAAAAUUUGCAUCCGCAAAUUGAAUCGGGAUGAUGAUAUAGUCCAAUGCACAUAGUAAUAUGUGGUAGACAUGCGUGAGACAGGUUGGUCUCCUAUCUACUGCAGGCGCAAGAUACUUGAGAGGAGUCGUCCUUUGUACGAGAGGAUCAGGAUGAACGAACCUCUGGUCUAUCGGCUGUUCCGCCAGGAGCACUGCCGAGUAGCUAUGUUCGGAAGGGAUAA
This 2279-nucleotide ribosomal RNA is filed under the name Candidatus Sungbacteria bacterium RIFCSPHIGHO2_02_FULL_46_12. Its description in RNAcentral is "partial 23S ribosomal RNA". It matches the Rfam family "Bacterial large subunit ribosomal RNA", at positions 2081 to 2767 of the family's 2925-position model. The record is from RNAcentral. Lineage: Bacteria; Candidatus Sungiibacteriota.